AAGUAUUCAGUGGAUGCAAAAGUAAUUGCAGUUUUUGCCAUUGAAAGUAAUGGCAAAACUGUAAAUACUUUUGCACCAAACUAAUAUUUU
Molecule: microRNA precursor, 90 nt
Organism: Chlorocebus sabaeus (green monkey)
Lineage: Eukaryota; Metazoa; Chordata; Mammalia; Primates; Cercopithecidae
Source: Ensembl